GUUGAGCACAGCAUAAUCUUGUAGUGGUCAUAUAUUUGCUCUAUACUGUAGUAUUUGCAACUUUUAGCUCUUUAUGAUUCUAUUGAGGAACGCUAAUCUAUGCUUCCGUACUCAAGUGGAAGAUUGAUUCUUUACCACUUGUGGAUUGCCAAUGUUGAUGAAUUUAUACGCGAAUCUUUUCCCUUGUCCUUUCCUUUACCUUUCACAUUUCUCAUCAACAGAUAAUGGAAACUAGUAUUUGAUAGUUUAAAUAGCAACAAUAAUAAAACACUGGCUGAUGUUUCUAUGAAAUGAUCAUACCGUUUGGAUUUUGACUUCAGUCCUUUUUUCCCAUCUGUUUGUUAUUUUGUUACAAAGGUGAGCAUAAGUGCCUAGCCACAAUGAGUGGUCGUGUGACUGAUGAGGUAGAAAUUGAUGAUACAAGAUCGCCCUCAUCGCGUCACCAUGUGGAGAAUUUGCCGUAUGUUCACAAGGUGGGACUGCCUCCAAAGCAGAAACUUUUGAAAGAAUUCACAUCGACUUUGAAGGAAAUUUUCUUCCAUGACGAACCCUUGCGCCAUUUUAAGGACCAACCAAAAUCUCGAAAGUUGAUACUUGGCCUCCAAGCCCUUUUUCCCAUUCUUGAAUGGGGGAGGGAUUACAAUCUGUCCAAAUUCAAAGGUGAUCUCAUCUCCGGACUAACCAUCGCAAGCCUUGCUAUUCCUCAGGAUAUUGGAUAUUCAAAGCUUGCAAAUCUUGAUCCCCAAUAUGGUUUAUAUAGUAGCUUUGUUCCACCUUUGGUUUAUGCCUUUAUGGGUAGCUCAAGAGAUAUUGCCAUAGGACCAGUGGCAGUGGUAUCUCUUCUGCUAGGAACCCUACUGCAGAAGGAGAUUGACCCAUCUAAUAAGGUUGAGUACCAGCGACUUGCCUUCACGGCUACAUUCUUUGCCGGAAUCACUCAAGCGACAUUAGGGGUUCUCAGAUUGGGCUUCUUGAUUGAUUUUUUGUCGCAUGCCGCCAUUGUUGGGUUUAUGGCUGGAGCUGCCAUUACUAUUGGUCUUCAACAGCUUAAAGGUUUCUUAGGCAUAACAACCUUCACAAAGAAGACUGAUAUAGUCUCUGUAAUGCGCUCAGUAUGGACUACGGUACAUCAUGGGUGGAACUGGCAAACAGUACUCAUAGGAGUUUCAUUCUUGGCCUUUCUUCUCAUUACCAAAUACAUUGGAAAGAAGAACAGAAAAUUGUUUUGGGUACCAGCAAUUGCUCCACUGAUUUCUGUUAUUAUCGCAACCUUUUUCGUGUUCAUCACCCAUGCUGACAAGCAUGGUGUUCAAAUUGUAAACCAUAUUAAAAAAGGUGUGAAUCCGGCUUCUGCAAAUCAAAUUUUUUUCACGGGCGGAUAUCUUCUAAAAGGGUUCAGGAUCGGUGUUGUGGCAGGAAUGAUAGCACUUACUGAAUCCGUAGCAAUUGGAAGAACAUUUGCAGCCAUAAAGGAUUAUGAACUUGAUGGAAACAAAGAAAUGGUAGCAUUAGGAACGAUGAAUGUCAUUGGCUCAGUGACAUCUUGUUAUGUGGCCACAGGAUCAUUCUCUCGCUCGGCAGUUAAUUUCAUGGCCGGUUGUAAUACAGCCGUCUCCAACAUUGUGAUGUCGUGUGUGCUAUUGUUAACUCUGUUAGUGAUCACCCCACUAUUUAAGUACACCCCAAAUGCCGUUAUUUCUUCUAUCAUCAUAUCAGCCGUGAUUGGACUAAUCGACAUUCAAGCCAUGAUCCUCAUAUGGAAGAUCGACAAGUUAGACUUUAUUGCUUGUAUGGGCGCCUUCUUUGGUGUGGUUUUCGUUUCGGUUGAGAUAGGCCUCUUGAUUGCUGUUGGGAUUUCUUUUGCUAAAAUCCUGCUGCAAGUGACGAGGCCGCGGACUGCUCUACUGGGGAAUCUCCCGAGGACUAGUGUUUACAGGAAUAUAAAUCAAUACCCAGACGCAACAAAAGUUCCAGGAAUUCUAAUUGUGAGAGUUGAUUCUGCAAUCUACUUCUCAAACUCCAACUAUGUCAAGGAGAGGAUUUUGAGAUGGCUAACCGAUGAGGAGGAACAAGUGAGAGCAAAUAAGCAAACCAGGAUUCAGUAUCUAGUAGUCGAAAUGUCACCCGUUACUGAUAUAGACACCAGCGGCCUCCAUGCCUUGGAAGAACUAUACCGAACCCUCCAAAAGAGAGAAAUUCAGCUUGUUUUGGCGAAUCCGGGGCAAGCUGUGAUCGAUAAACUCUACACAUCCGGUUUUGCAAACUUGAUAGGAGAAGACAAGAUCUUCCUCACGGUAGCAGAUGCGGUGCUUACGUACGCUCCAAAGACAGAAGAACCUUGAAGAGAUCACAUCCGUGUCGGUUCGAUAACUCGUUUCUCGCUCUGCGAUGUGCUUCGACGUCGCGGUGAUGUCGCUAGUGUGGUAGUUUUGCUUGUCAAGUCUCUAGGAAAACUUGCGAAUUGCAGUGUUGAUUUUUGGUGUUUAAAUGGAUUUGGUGCGGGGGCUGGCAAAAUAGUGGGGUUGGUGCAUAAAGGUGUUGUAAAAUCAUUUUGUUGGGGGAAAGCAGGGCCAUGGUGAUGCUGUUUUCCAGCUCUGCCACUACUUUUCAUUGUGUAUCAGUGUGGUGUUCUUUGGUUUGUUUUCCUUACAUUGUAAAGUUCUAAAAGUUGUAUGGGGCUUUUAUUCUUUGGGUUUUAUAAGAGUGAGAAAAGGUUAUUCUGCUCUGAAAUUUAAAUUUCUCUGCAGCCUUUCAAUAAUGGAGUAUAGAACUAGCACGGCUACUAAAACUUAUUGAGCAACUAUUUCAAAAUAUAAAAUCUCGUAAAGGGUAAUUGAAAGAAUUCACAAUACUGAAGUUAGUGAACGAAUCCAGACCGGACAUGGACAAAGUAAAGCAAUGCAUCAAAUUGUGGUUUCUUUUAAAAGCUGACAAUACAUUAUUGUUGGAACAGGAGACAACAUGUAAAAACUGAGAAUAUAUAUAAUAUAGCAUCCAAAAGGACCUCACAGAAUCAAUAUCAUUUAAUGCAAUGACAAGUCUAGAAACAAAACAUCACAAAAAGACUCUCCACUACUAUCCUCUCCUCGUCACCUCAAAAAAACUGCCAAAAGUUGCUCAAGCAAAAGAGAGCACUGAAACCAAUAGUGCCACAAGAAGAGAUCCAACAGAAAUUGCAAGACCAGUAGAAUCAGAUGUCCCUGAAGUAGGUGUGGGAGCACCCCCGUUCGUUCCUGCAGCUGGGGUAGUAGGCACGCCUGGAAUUGAGCUUGGGGAUGGUGCCAUAACUGC
RNA transcript from Rhododendron vialii, 3291 nucleotides. It is a transcript of the gene named sulfate transporter 1.3-like, with no coding region annotated. The transcript has 14 exons. NCBI's taxonomy places the organism in Eukaryota, Viridiplantae, Streptophyta, Magnoliopsida, Ericales, Ericaceae. The record is from RefSeq and is a predicted model, not a curated record.